GAUGAACGCUGGCGGCGUGCCUAAUACAUGCCAGUCGAGCGAACAGACGAGGAGCUUGCUCCUCUGACGUUAGCGGCGGACGGGUGAGUAACACGUGGAUAACCUACCUAUAAGACUGGGAUAACUUCGGGAAACCGGAGCUAAUACCGGAUAAUAUAUUGAACCGCAUGGUUCAAUAGUGAAAGGCGGUUUUGCUGUCACUUAUAGAUGGAUCCGCGCCGCAUUAGCUAGUUGGUAAGGUAACGGCUUACCAAGGCAACGAUGCGUAGCCGACCUGAGAGGGUGAUCGGCCACACUGGAACUGAGACACGGUCCAGACUCCUACGGGAGGCAGCAGUAGGGAAUCUUCCGCAAUGGGCGAAAGCCUGACGGAGCAACGCCGCGUGAGUGAUGAAGGUCUUCGGAUCGUAAAACUCUGUUAUUAGGGAAGAACAAAUGUGUAAGUAACUAUGCACGUCUUGACGGUACCUAAUCAGAAAGCCACGGCUAACUACGUG
RNAcentral lists this ribosomal RNA (497 nucleotides) under uncultured bacterium. Its description in RNAcentral is "partial 16S ribosomal RNA". It matches the Rfam family "Bacterial small subunit ribosomal RNA", at positions 28 to 507 of the family's 1533-position model. The record is from RNAcentral.